GCGCGGAAACUUUACAAUGCACGCAAGUGUGAUAAGGGAAUCCAAAGUGCUUACGCUUUGCGUAGGCUUUUGCCAAGUCUAAACAGCUUGGAGAAUAAGUGGUGGGUAAGACUGGUGCCAGCAGCCGCGGUAACCCCAGCGCCACGAGUGGGAGUCGCUUUUAUUGGGCCUAAAGCGUUCGUAGCCUGUUUAGUAAGUCUUUUGUGAAAUUGUUAGGCUUAACCUGACAGCGUGCAAGAGAUACUACUUUUCUUGGGACCGGGAGGAGUAUGGGGUAUUCCAUGGGGAACGGUAAAAUGUAAUAAUCCAUGGAGGACCACCAGUGGCGAAGGCGCCAUACUAGAACGGAUUCGACGGUGAGGGACGAAGGCUAGGGGAGCAAAACGG
RNAcentral lists this ribosomal RNA (387 nucleotides) under uncultured bacterium. RNAcentral describes it as "bacterial SSU rRNA". It matches the Rfam family "Archaeal small subunit ribosomal RNA", at positions 339 to 727 of the family's 1478-position model. The record is from RNAcentral.